UCUAAGGAUAGUCGAACAUAUCUUUGAUAGUUUGACUGUACUAGAACAUAAAAAAUUCCGCCGUCCUCAUGUCCCUUCAUCUUGGAAAAAGCCUGUUGAGCACUGUAGAGUGUUUGAUGGUGGUAAAGUUAGCCUAUGUGCUAUUGCCAAUGGGCCGGUAGCUCAGGUGGUUAGAGCGCACGCCUGAUAAGCGUGAGGUCGGAGGUUCAACUCCUCCCCGGCCCACCAUGGUUCAGGUAGGGAAUUUCAAAGGGGCCUUAGCUCAGUUGGGAGAGCGCUAGCUUUGCAAGCUUGAGGUCAUCGGUUCGAUCCCGAUAGGCUCCACCAGAAAUUAUCUGGUUGUUUUCCAAAGAAAGAUGAAGAGGAAAAGAGAUCCUUCUGAUGAUAUCAGGAGGGUAGGGGAUUUAUCCCUGAAUGUUAUUUGAAAUUGUGAAUGGAAAUAUUGAAAAUCGAUGCCGCGACUUCGAUUUUUGAAUGACUGCUUCGGUGGUUAUUUGGAAAGCGAAAGUUGCAUAAAGUAAAGAUAUUCAAUUGAUGCUGAGAUUUAACAAAAAGCAUCAUCGGUGGAAGAAGCAAUUCUGACAUUGAUGGUGGAAGUUCUCAAGCGU
RNAcentral lists this transfer RNA (608 nucleotides) under Zymomonas mobilis subsp. mobilis. RNAcentral's name for it is "partial miscellaneous RNA". The stretch from base 152 to 225 matches the Rfam family "tRNA". Lineage: Bacteria; Pseudomonadati; Pseudomonadota; Alphaproteobacteria; Sphingomonadales; Zymomonadaceae. The record is from RNAcentral.